AGCAGAGUGGCGCAGUGGAAGCGUGCUGGGCCCAUAACCCAGAGGACCGAGGAUCGAAACCUUGCUCUGCUA
Glossina palpalis gambiensis is the source of this 72-nucleotide non-coding RNA. The record is from Rfam. NCBI's taxonomy places the organism in Eukaryota, Metazoa, Arthropoda, Insecta, Diptera, Glossinidae.